This 735-nucleotide ribosomal RNA is filed under the name Innesoconcha grata. RNAcentral's name for it is "partial large subunit ribosomal RNA". The stretch from base 348 to 533 matches the Rfam family "Bacterial large subunit ribosomal RNA", at positions 1706 to 2023 of the family's 2925-position model. Lineage: Eukaryota; Metazoa; Mollusca; Gastropoda; Stylommatophora; Euconulidae. The record is from RNAcentral.
CUAAAGAGUACUAAUUAGAAUUCCCCGAAAUAAAAGGAGCUAGUUAGAUAGUGAGUUUGUGUUACAAAACAUAGUUUUAUUUUUAACUAGGUGUGAAAGGCUGGACAACUUUUAUGAUAUCUGGAUUGAGCUAUAAUGUAUAUAGUACAGACAUUAUGUUGACUAAGCUCCUGUUAAGGGGGGUUUACAUAAGGAAAGUGCAUAGUAUUACUUGUUUCAAAUAACUUACUAUAACUUACUCCUAGUAGUUAAUGUUUUUGUUUUAUUUCUUUUUACUUAGCUCUUGAAAAUUUCAGUAAAAAAAUUUUUAAAUAAUGUUAAAAUAAGUAUUUUAAGUAAACUCUUACUAAGGAACUCGGCAAAAAUUUUGCUCAACUGUUUAUCAAAAACAUAGUUUUAUGGAACCAUAUAAAAUGAAACCUGCCCAAUGAAAUUUUAAUGGCCGCAGUACUUUAACUGUGCUAAGGUAGCAUAAUAAUUUGGCUUCUAAUUAAAGUCUGGUAUGAAAGGAUUAAUGGGUAAAAGCUGUCUUGUUCGAUUAAAAAAAAAUUAUUUAAAAGGUGAGAAUCCCUUUAAUUAGCCAAUAGACGAGAAGACCCUAGGAGUUUUCGUUUUGUUGGGGCGACAUUUAAGUAAUCUUAACCUUUUAUCUAUUAAAACGAUUAUAUUAAUAAUAAUUAAACUACCCUAGGGAUAACAGCAUAAUUUUUUAAAAGAUUGUGACCUCGAUGUUGG